Molecule: long non-coding RNA, 222 nt
Filed under: Ananas comosus (pineapple)
Lineage: Eukaryota; Viridiplantae; Streptophyta; Magnoliopsida; Poales; Bromeliaceae
Description: long non-coding RNA (ACOM_LNC022854)
Source: RNAcentral
UUGAGGGAGAGUAGUACAUUGUUUUUUUUUUUUUUUUGAGAGAGAAAGAUAGCAUGCUAUCCGUUUCGUUUAUUUCAUUUAGAAAUAAACUUAGCUGGAAAUGUGAAUCAACUAGGAUUCAAACUUAGAUCUCGGAUACCAACCAUCAAGCCCUUUUGCCACUUACGCUAAGGACGGUCGGUAGAGUAGUACGUUGUUACUGUAUAUUAGUAAUUAUGUAUA